Molecule: ribosomal RNA, 355 nt
Filed under: uncultured fungus
Lineage: Eukaryota; Fungi
Description: eukaryotic LSU rRNA
Rfam family: Eukaryotic large subunit ribosomal RNA
Source: RNAcentral
AUAUCAAUAAGCGGAGGAAAAGAAACCAACAGGGAUUGCCCCAGUAACGGCGAGUGAAGCGGCAACAGCUCAAAUUUGAAAUCUGGCUCUCGGGCCCGAGUUGUAAUUUGUAGAGGAUGCUUUUGGUGAGGUGCCUUCCGAGUUCCCUGGAACGGGACGCCAUAGAGGGUGAGAGCCCCGUCUGGUUGGACACCGACCCUCUGUAAAGCUCCUUCGACGAGUCGAGUAGUUUGGGAAUGCUGCUCUAAAUGGGAGGUAUAUGUCUUCUAAAGCUAAAUACCGGCCAGAGACCGAUAGCGCACAAGUAGAGUGAUCGAAAGACGAAAAGAACUUUGAAAAGAGAGUUAAAAAGUAC